CAAUAGCGUAUAUUAAAGUUGUUGCAGUUAAAAAGCUCGUAGUUGAACUUCUGGUCAAGCGUGACCUUGGCUUCGGUCGAGGCAGGCAUGGCCAUCCGUCAGAAAACCAGGGAGGGUCUUAAGUGAUCGCUCUGGGGAUCUGACACUUUACUUUGAAAAACUAGAGUGUUCAUGGCAGGCUAACGCCCUGAAUACACAAGCAUGGAAUAAUAGAAUAGGACUGGGUCCAUUUUGUUGGUUAUUGGACGCAGUGAUGAUUAAUAGGGACAGUUGGGGGCAUUAGUAUUUAAUUGUCAGAGGUGAAAUUCUUGGAUUUAUUAAAGACUGACUUAUGCGAAAGCUAUUUGCCGAAGGAUUGUUUUCUAUUGAUACAAAGAAACGUAAAGGUUAGGGGAUACAAAGAUGAUCAGA
Molecule: ribosomal RNA, 411 nt
Filed under: uncultured eukaryote
Lineage: Eukaryota
Description: SSU rRNA
Rfam family: Eukaryotic small subunit ribosomal RNA
Source: RNAcentral